Molecule: transfer RNA, 87 nt
Filed under: Keteleeria davidiana
Lineage: Eukaryota; Viridiplantae; Streptophyta; Pinopsida; Pinales; Pinaceae
Also listed under: 13 other names
Description: tRNA-Leu
Rfam family: tRNA
About the family: Transfer RNA (tRNA) molecules are approximately 80 nucleotides in length.
Source: RNAcentral
GGGGAUAUGGCGGAAUUGGUAGACGCUACGGACUUAAAAUCCGUUGGCUUUAUAGACCGUGAGGGUUCAAGUCCCUCUAUCCCCACC